Molecule: unclassified non-coding RNA, 223 nt
Filed under: Hevea brasiliensis (rubber tree)
Lineage: Eukaryota; Viridiplantae; Streptophyta; Magnoliopsida; Malpighiales; Euphorbiaceae
Source: RNAcentral
CUUCUCUGAAUUUAAAUGAUGAUAUGAUAAAUGAUGCACCAAAUUCUGGUGCUAAAUUUCCAAACAUAGCCAUGGGAUCACUUUGUCACUAAAUCAAGAUCACAGGACAACUGUCGAGGUAGACGGUGAUCCAGGGAAAUCAGUUUCAUUGGUGAAAACACUUGACCUUGUGGAAUGACACUACAAAAACCACCUGCCCUUGAACAUUAGUAGCUCAGAAGGU